This 494-nucleotide ribosomal RNA is filed under the name uncultured bacterium. Its description in RNAcentral is "bacterial SSU rRNA". It matches the Rfam family "Bacterial small subunit ribosomal RNA", at positions 30 to 524 of the family's 1533-position model. The record is from RNAcentral.
AUUGAACGCUGGCGGAAUGCUUUACACAUGCAAGUCGAACGGCAGCACGGGGCAACCUGGUGGCGAGUGGCGAACGGGUGAGUAAUACAUCGGAACGUGCCCAAUCGUGGGGGAUAACGUAGCGAAAGUUACGCUAAUACCGCAUACGAUCUACGGAUGAAAGCGGGGGAUCGCAAGACCUCGCGCGAGUGGAGCGGCCGAUGUCAGAUUAGGUAGUUGGUGGGGUAAAGGCUCACCAAGCCAACGAUCUGUAGCUGGUCUGAGAGGACGACCAGCCACACUGGAACUGAGACACGGUCCAGACUCCUACGGGAGGCAGCAGUGGGGAAUUUUGGACAAUGGGCGCAAGCCUGAUCCAGCCAUUCCGCGUGCAGGAUGAAGGCUCGGUGUAACUGCUUUGUUACGGAACGAACGGCGAGCUCUAAUACAGUUUGCUAAUGACGGUACCGUAAGAAUAAGACACCGGCUAACUACGUGCCAGCAGCCGCGGUAAU